Molecule: ribosomal RNA, 507 nt
Filed under: uncultured Glomus
Lineage: Eukaryota; Fungi; Glomeromycota; Glomeromycetes; Glomerales; Glomeraceae
Description: SSU rRNA
Rfam family: Eukaryotic small subunit ribosomal RNA
Source: RNAcentral
AGCAGCCGCGGUAAUUCCAGCUCCAAUAGCGUAUAUUAAAGUUGUUGCAGUUAAAAAGCUCGUAGUUGAAUUUCGGGAUCAAUUUAUUGGUCGUGCUAUUGUACGUACUGGUAUUAUUGAUUCCUACCUUCUGACGAACCAUGAUGUCAUUAAUUUGGUGUCAUGGGGAAUCAGGACUGUUACUUUGAAAAAAUUAGAGUGUUUAAAGCAGGCUCACGCUUGAAUACAUUAGCAUGGAAUAACGAAAUAGGACGUUUGAUUCUAUUUUGUUGGUUUCUAGGAUCGACGUAAUGAUUAAUAGGGAUAGUUGGGGGCAUUAGUAUUCAAUUGUCAGAGGUGAAAUUCUUGGAUUUAUUGAAGACUAACUACUGCGAAAGCAUUUGCCAAGGAUGUUUUCAUUAAUCAAGAACGAAAGUUAGGGGAUCGAAGACGGUCAGAUACCGUCGUAGUCUUAACCAUAAACUAUGCCGACUAGGGAUCGGAUGAUGUUAAUUUUUUAAUGACUCA